RNAcentral lists this long non-coding RNA (1921 nucleotides) under Canis lupus familiaris (dog). Its description in RNAcentral is "lncRNA (ENSCAFG00000053955.1)". Lineage: Eukaryota; Metazoa; Chordata; Mammalia; Carnivora; Canidae. The record is from RNAcentral.
AGAUGGAUUUCUAAAUGUUAAAUAUUUAAAGUAGAAUGAGGAAGAGAUUUUUAUCUCUUCUAGGCCAAGCAGCUUCUGGGCAGAAUUAGUCAUGGUCUUGCUCUAUUUCAAGUGUAAAGGCUCAAGAUGCAGGGGAAGGCAAACUGGUGAGUGCCAGGGCAAGAGGGAAGAGGUCCUUUGUCCUUGGUUGGAAGUCCUGAGAGCUGUCUAGAUGCUAACCCUGCAGAACUUCCUGGAGUUUGGGGCAACAGUAGCCCUGAAUUACAUUAUAGAAUCUGGAUUUGGAAAUGGAAAAGGGGACUCCCAACAGAUCUCUUGAGGCCAACUCAUGGCUAAGAACCUGUGAUUUAGAGGACACAUUUGAUGGAAUCAAUUUUGGUGAGGGAUUUUUCUGCUAAAAGUGAUCACAUUAAAGGAAGAAUAAGGAGUAUGACAUCUAAAGAGAUGUCAGUCUCUAAAACAAAUGUGUGUGUGUGUGUGUGUGUGUGUGUGUGUGUGUUUAAGCAAGCUCUACACCCAAUGUGGGACUUGAAGUCAUGACCCUUAGAUCAAGAGUUGCAUGCUCUACUAACUGAGCCAGCUAGCUGUCCCUCUAAAACAAAUAUAUUUUAGAGACUUGUUUGAAUUCAAUCUAAGAUUAUUUUCAAACUUAUAUAAGGUAGUGCUGGUGUUUUACAGAGGAUUCUUAUAUUUUAGACUAAAUACAGUAUGAUUUUUUUCUGACCUGAAAAUUGCAGGUAGUAGAAGGGGGAGAUUAGCCAAACCUACAGGGGAGGCAAUUGGAUAUUGGAGGAAUUUCUGCUCUUUUCUGUCAGAGUAGAAAGUGCAAUGAUGGGUUUUUGGUGAAGGAAGAAACUAAUGACAUAGGAUAGGGAUUUAAAUCCAAGAAAAGUAAAUGUGUAGAAAGGAGGAUAAUUAUGCAAGAGGAAGGGAGGAACGGUGGAAAGGUGAUCUUGAGAUGAGGACUAUGGCAGGACAAGUGACAAAUGCCAAUUCUUCCCCUAGAUGCAAUUCUGACAGUUCCUCUCCUUUUUUGUUUUUCCUUUCACUGCAGGCAUUCCUCAAAGAUUGGGACUUUUUUCUCACUCACAGCAGUGCCUCACAAAUACAAAUUGUUCAUAUGAUUUCCUUGCCAGGACACACACACAUUAAAUGAAGACUUCGGUCUCUAGCAUUGGUCUCUUGCCCUUUUUUUUUUUUUCUUCUGUAGUUGAAUUUCCAAUAGCUAACCAUCCUGGACACACACAAUACCAAAUUUGCUUUGUGUAUUCCCAUUCCUAAAAUGCUUUUAAAAAAGAUUUUAUUUAUUUAUUUAUUCAUGAGAGACACAGACAGAGAAAGGCAGAGACACAGAGGGAGAAGCAGGCUCCAUGCAGGGAGCCCGAUGUGGGACUUGAUCCGGGGUCUCCAGGAUCAGGCCUUGGGCUGAAGAUGGCGCUAAACCAGAGCCACCAGGCUGCCCCCUAAAAUGUUUCGUAAUCAAAAUUUAGUUGUACCUCCCCAGCCAAUUCUUCUAUCUCUGAUGAUUCAACCCCUUAGGAAAUUUCUUGGGAGUUAUGGUCAGAUUAUGAUUCUGAUGUUCGUGUCUUCUCUACGUUUUCUGGUGAGGUCUUAAUAAGCCCAUCAGGCUGUUUCUUCUUGGUGGCUAUAUAUUUCCUUGAAGGCUUAUUUUUUUCUGUGUCUGCCUAGUACUUGAUAACUUGAUAGUGUUUGCUAGACAAUAAGCAAACAUUUUUAAUAAUGUCAAUAAAUUCAACUGACGUAAAAAGAAAAAGUUGGCAUUUCUGUCUGCUGGAAAAUAAGGGCCUUUUCCUGUUGGAAAUGCACAAGCCACUACAUGGAAGAUAUGAGCAGUUGAGAAGGAUGAGGUCUCACACUUUUUGGGAGGAAACAUGGCAACCACUGUCUUUAAAAAAAAAAA